This 443-nucleotide ribosomal RNA is filed under the name uncultured bacterium. Its description in RNAcentral is "bacterial SSU rRNA". It matches the Rfam family "Bacterial small subunit ribosomal RNA", at positions 65 to 524 of the family's 1533-position model. The record is from RNAcentral.
AACAGAACCGGGGGCACUCCGCGAAGUAAGUGGCGACCGGUGUGAGUAACACGUGACUAACCUGCCCUCGAGCGGGGGAUAACCCCGGGAAACCGGGGCUAAUACCGCAUAACAUCCUCGAUACGAAAGUGUUGAGGAUCAAAGGAGCAAUUCACUUGAGGAGGGGGUCGCGGCCGAUUAGGUAGUUGGCGGGGUAACGGCCCACCAAGCCUUUGAUCCGUAGCUGGUCUGAGAGGAUGAUCAGCCACACUGGGACUGAGACACGGCCCAGACUCCUACGGGAGGCAGCAGUGGGGAAUAUUGGACAAUGGGCGCAAGCCUGAUCCAGCAAUGCCGCGUGAGUGAUGAAGGCCUUCGGGUUGUAAAGCUCUUUCGCCCGCGACGAUGAUGACGGUAGCGGGAGAAGAAGCCCCGGCUAACUUCGUGCCAGCAGCCGCGGUAAU